This is a long non-coding RNA of Mycetomoellerius zeteki, 233 nucleotides long. RefSeq lists it as uncharacterized. The record is from RefSeq and is a predicted model, not a curated record. Lineage: Eukaryota; Metazoa; Arthropoda; Insecta; Hymenoptera; Formicidae. The transcript is spliced from 3 exons.
CUGUCCUUGCUGUAGACACAUCUGACCUACUAAAGCUGAUUGUUGAUCACCUAAGCACUGCAACGAAUAAUUUUUUAUGAACACCCUGUAGCAACUCGUCUUGUAUAUAACCAUAAAUCUCAGAAGAGCUUCGUAUUUCAGCAUUCGUUACAUCUGUACUAUGAACACCACCAUUGGCACCACCUGUCAGAUUCUAAUUAUAAAAUUAAUUAUUAAUCUGAAUCAGUAUAAAA